GAAAUAGCUAUGAAUGGGAUAAGUAAUUAUUUUCAAAUCUCUUCAGGGAGGUAGAGUCUUGAUUGAAAGCUUUACCAGAGAUAAAAAUAAUGAAAUUCACCCAAGAGCUGCCUUUUUGAAACCUCAGUAGGGAAGGCCGGUGAAUACACCGUUAUCAAAUCAUGAGAUAAUCUUAUGAAUUCAUUUGUUCAUAGAUUAAAUAGGGUGGUACCACGAAUAUGCUUUCGUCCCUUGG
Molecule: non-coding RNA, 235 nt
Filed under: Desulfobacter sp.
Lineage: Bacteria; Pseudomonadati; Thermodesulfobacteriota; Desulfobacteria; Desulfobacterales; Desulfobacteraceae
Description: Desulfitibacter sp. T-box sequence
Rfam family: T-box leader
About the family: Uncharged tRNA acts as the effector for transcription antitermination of genes in the T-box leader family. T-boxes are found upstream of many aminoacyl-tRNA synthetase genes and some amino acid biosynthetic genes usually in Gram-positive bacteria.
Source: RNAcentral